CCUACGGGAGGCAGCAGUCGAGAAUCAUUCACAAUGGGGGAAACCCUGAUGGUGCGACGCCGCGUGGGGGAAUGAAGGUCUUCGGAUUGUAAACCCCUGUCAUGUGGGAGCAAAUUAAAAAGAUAGUACCACAAGAGGAAGAGACGGCUAACUCUGUGCCAGCAGCCGCGGUAAUACAGAGGUCUCAAGCGUUGUUCGGAAUCACUGGGCGUAAAGCGUGCGUAGGCUGUUUCGUAAGUCGUGUGUGAAAGGCGAGGGCUCAACCCGCGGACGGCACAUGAUACUGCGAGACUAGAGUAAUGGAGGGGGAACCGGAAUUCUCGGUGUAGCAGUGAAAUGCGUAGAUAGCGAGAGGAACACUCGUGGCGAAGGCGGGUUCCUGGACAUUAACUGACGCUGAGGCACGAAGGCCAGGGGAGCGAAAGGGAUUAGAUACCCUAGUAGUC
Molecule: ribosomal RNA, 446 nt
Filed under: uncultured bacterium
Lineage: Bacteria
Description: partial 16S ribosomal RNA
Rfam family: Bacterial small subunit ribosomal RNA
Source: RNAcentral